RNAcentral lists this ribosomal RNA (370 nucleotides) under uncultured organism. Its description in RNAcentral is "bacterial SSU rRNA". It matches the Rfam family "Bacterial small subunit ribosomal RNA", at positions 526 to 896 of the family's 1533-position model. The record is from RNAcentral.
CGAAGGGGGCUAGCGUUGUUCGGAAUCACUGGGCGUAAAGGGCGCGUAGGCGGCGGUUCAAGUCGGGGGUGAAAGCCUGUGGCUCAACCACAGAAUGGCCUUCGAUACUGGACGGCUCGAGACCGGAAGAGGUCAGUGGAACUGCGAGUGUAGAGGUGAAAUUCGUAGAUAUUCGCAAGAACACCAGUGGCGAAGGCGGCUGACUGGUCCGGUUCUGACGCUGAGGCGCGAAAGCGUGGGGAGCAAACAGGAUUAGAUACCCUGGUAGUCCACGCCGUAAACGAUGGAUGCUAGCCGUUGGCGCGCUUGCGCGUCAGUGGCGCCGCUAACGCUUUAAGCAUCCCGCCUGGGGAGUACGGUCGCAAGAUUA